This 252-nucleotide ribosomal RNA is filed under the name uncultured bacterium. RNAcentral's name for it is "partial 16S ribosomal RNA". It matches the Rfam family "Bacterial small subunit ribosomal RNA", at positions 525 to 776 of the family's 1533-position model. The record is from RNAcentral.
ACAGAGGGUGCGAACGUUGCUCGGAAUCACUGGGCGUAAAGCGCGUGUAGGCGGAUUUGUAAGUCGGGUGUGAAAUCCCUGGGCUCAACCUAGGAACUGCAUUCGAAACUACAUAUCUUGAGUGUCGGAGAGGGAAGUGGAAUUCCAGGUGUAGGGGUGAAAUCCGUAGAUAUCUGGAGGAACAUCAGUGGCGAAGGCGGCUUCCUGGACGAUAACUGACGCUGAGACGCGAAAGCGUGGGGAGCAAACAGG